This 73-nucleotide transfer RNA is filed under the name Gigaspora margarita. Its description in RNAcentral is "tRNA-Val". It matches the Rfam family "tRNA". Rfam says of the family: Transfer RNA (tRNA) molecules are approximately 80 nucleotides in length. Their secondary structure includes four short double-helical elements and three loops (D, anti-codon, and T loops). Lineage: Eukaryota; Fungi; Glomeromycota; Glomeromycetes; Diversisporales; Gigasporaceae. The record is from RNAcentral. RNAcentral also lists the same sequence under 1 other name.
GAGGGAUUAACUCAUAAGGUAGAGUGGCAUCCUUACAAGAUGUAAGUAAUAGGUUCGAGUCCUAUAUCCCUCU